Molecule: ribosomal RNA, 547 nt
Filed under: uncultured bacterium
Lineage: Bacteria
Description: bacterial SSU rRNA
Rfam family: Bacterial small subunit ribosomal RNA
Source: RNAcentral
GGGGAAUAUUGCACAAUGGGCGCAAGCCUGGUGCAGCGACGCCGCGUGAGGGAUGAAGGCCUUCGGGUUGUAAACCUCUUUCGUCAGGGAACAAGGCAUUGCCUUUUUUGGUGGUGUUGAGGGUACCUGGAUAAGAAGCGCCGGCUAACUACGUGCCAGCAGCCGCGGUAAUACGUAGGGCGCAAGCGUUGUCCGGAAUUAUUGGGCGUAAAGAGCUCGUAGGCGGCUGGUCGCGUCUGUCGUGAAAACUUCCGGCUCAACCGGGGGCUUGCGGUGGGUACGGGCCGGCUAGAGUGCGGUAGGGGUAACUGGAACUCCUGGUGUAGCGGUGGAAUGCGCAGAUAUCAGGAAGAACACCGAUGGCGAAGGCAGGUUACUGGGCCGUUACUGACGCUGAGGAGCGAAAGCGUGGGGAGCGAACAGGAUUAGAUACCCUGGUAGUCCACGCUGUAAACGUUGGGCACUAGGUGUGAGGCUCCUUUCCGGGGGUUUUGCGCCGUAGCUAACGCAUUAAGUGCCCCGCCUGGGGAGUACGGCCGCAAGGCUA